This 253-nucleotide ribosomal RNA is filed under the name uncultured bacterium. Its description in RNAcentral is "partial 16S ribosomal RNA". It matches the Rfam family "Bacterial small subunit ribosomal RNA", at positions 524 to 776 of the family's 1533-position model. The record is from RNAcentral.
UACGUAGGGCGCAAGCGUUAUCCGGAAUUAUUGGGCGUAAAGAGCUCGUAGGCGGUUUGUCGCGUCUGCCGUGAAAGUCCGGGGCUCAACUCCGGAUCUGCGGUGGGUACGGGCAGACUAGAGUGAUGUAGGGGAGACUGGAAUUCCUGGUGUAGCGGUGAAAUGCGCAGAUAUCGGGAGGAACACCGAUGGCGAAGGCAGGUCUCUGGGCAUUAACUGACGCUGAGGAGCGAAAGCAUGGGGAGCGAACAGG